This 240-nucleotide ribosomal RNA is filed under the name uncultured bacterium. RNAcentral describes it as "partial 16S ribosomal RNA". It matches the Rfam family "Bacterial small subunit ribosomal RNA", at positions 524 to 762 of the family's 1533-position model. The record is from RNAcentral.
UACGAAGGGGGCUAGCGUUGUUCGGAAUUACUGGGCGUAAAGCGCGCGCAGGCGGUCCUUUAAGUCAGGGGUGAAAAGCCCAGAGCUCAACUCUGGAACUGCCUUUGAAACUAGAGGACUUGGGUACGGGAGAGGUGAGUGGAAUUCCGAGUGUAGAGGUGAAAUUCGUAGAUAUUCGGAAGAACACCAGUGGCGAAGGCGGCUCACUGGCCCGUUACCGACGCUCAGGCGCGACAGCGU